CCUUUCCUUGCCAGUGAAAUAUUCACCUGUGAAAUUGAUGUUAUCCUUAAGACUCUAGUGGAAGAAGAAGAGUUUCAGAGAAGAAAUUGUUUUGCCCGAGAGUUCAAUCCUUUUUAUCAUCUUGGCGCAGCUCAUGAAGUUACUAUUUUCCUUCUUGAAACCAAGUUGUCCGCAUAGUGCGUUGCUUGCUGGGUAUUUUAGUAAGGUUGUGAUAUGCCUCAUGCUGCGGAAGACUGUUCCCCUCAUGAACUAUGUUCAGGCGCACCAUGAUGUUUACCGCCAGAUGGUGGAUUUGAUUGGUAUAACAUCCAUAAUGGAGGUUUUAGUCCGACUUGUAGGUGCUGAUGAUCAAAUGUACCCUAACACGACAGAUGUGAUGCAAUGGUUGGCUGACAGCAAUCUUUUAGAAAUGAUCGUAGAUAAAUUGAGCCCUUCUAGUCCUCCUGAAGUACAUGCUAAUACAGCAGAGAUGCUAUGUGCAAUAACCAGAAACACACCAUCGCCUCUGGCUACAAAACUAUCUAGCCCAAGCUUUGUAGCAAGGAUCUUUGGUCAUGCCUUUGAAGAUUCACACUCAAAGUCUG
RNAcentral lists this unclassified non-coding RNA (584 nucleotides) under Hevea brasiliensis (rubber tree). The record is from RNAcentral. Lineage: Eukaryota; Viridiplantae; Streptophyta; Magnoliopsida; Malpighiales; Euphorbiaceae.